This 30-nucleotide non-coding RNA is filed under the name Homo sapiens (human). The record is from RNAcentral. Lineage: Eukaryota; Metazoa; Chordata; Mammalia; Primates; Hominidae.
UCCUAGCCUAUAGACAGUAUUUGUUAAAUA